UUUUAAGAGUUUGAUUCUGGCUCAGGACGAACGCUGGCGGCGUGCUUAAAACAUGCAAGUCGAACGAAGUUAAUUUGGAGCUUGCUUCGAGUUAACUUAGUGGCGGACGGGUGAGUAACGCGUGAACAAUCUGCCCUAUACACUGGGAUAACGUCUGGAAACGGACGCUAAUACCGGAUAUGACCACAUUCCCGCAUGGGAGAGAGGUGAAAGGGUUUACUGGUAUAGGAGGAGUUCGCGUCCCAUUAGCUAGUUGGUAGUGUAACGGACUACCAAGGCGACGAUGGGUAGCCGACCUGAGAGGGUGAUCGGCCACAUUGGAACUGAGAUACGGUCCAAACUCCUACGGGAGGCAGCAGUUAGGAAUAUUGGGCAAUGGAGGAAACUCUGACCCAGCAACGCCGCGUGAAGGAUGAAGGUCUUCGGAUUGUAAACUUCUGUUCUAAGGGAAGAAACAAAUGACGGUACCUUAGAAGAAAGCCCCGGCAAACUAUGUGCCAGCAGCCGCGGUGAUACAUAGGGGGCAAGCGUUGUCCGGAAUGACUGGGCGUAAAGGGAGUGUAGGCGGUUCUUUAAGUUAAAUGUGAAAUCCUAAGGCUUAACCUUAGAACUGCAUUUAAUACUGGGGAACUUGAGUGUGGGAGAGGUAAGUGGAAUUCCUAGUGUAGCGGUGGAAUGCGUAGAUAUUAGGAGGAACAUCGGAGGCGAAGGCGACUUACUGGAACACAACUGACGCUGAGGCUCGAAAGCGUGGGGAGCAAACAGGAUUAGAUACCCUGGUAGUCCACGCCCUAAACGAUGGAUACUAGAUGUAGGCGGUAUCGACUCCGCCUGUAUCGUAGCUAACGCAAUAAGUAUCCCGCCUGAGUAGUACGGCCGCAAGGUUAAAACUCAAAGAAAUUGACGGGGACCCGCACAAGCAGAGGAGCAUGACGUUUAAUUCGACGCAACGCGAAAAACCUUACCAAGGCUUGACAUCCGCAGAACACCUGAGAAAUCAGAAUGGUCUAGCAAUAGACUGCGAGACAGGUGGUGCAUGGUUGUCGUCAGCUCGUGUCGUGAGAUGUUCGGUUAAGUCCGGCAACGAGCGCAACCCUUAUGAACAGUUGCCAAUAUUAAGUUAGGAACUCUGUUCAUACCGCCGUGGAUAACACGGAGGAAGGUGGGGAUGACGUCAAAUCAUCAUGCCCCUUAUGUCUUGGGCUACACACGUGCUACAAUGGCUAUUACAAAGAGCUGCAAACUCGUAAGGGCAAGCGAAUCUCAAAAAGAUAGUCUCAGUUCGGAUUGUGGGCUGCAACCCGCCCACAUGAAGUCGGAGUUGCUAGUAAUCCCGAAUCAGCAUGUCGGGGUGAAUGCGUUCCCGGGCCUUGUACACACCGCCCGUCACGCCAUGGGAGCUGGUAAUACCCAAAGUCGGUACACCAACCGCAAGGAGGAAGCCGCCUAAGGUAGGAUCAGUGACUGGGGUGAAGUCGUAACAAGGUAGCAGUACCGGAAGGUGCGGCUGGAUCACCUCCUU
RNAcentral lists this ribosomal RNA (1522 nucleotides) under human gut metagenome. RNAcentral describes it as "Bacterial small subunit ribosomal RNA". It matches the Rfam family "Bacterial small subunit ribosomal RNA". The record is from RNAcentral.